GGAGCCGCAGUUUCUGAUGGGCCCAGAUACAUUCAUCACCUCUUCCACCUAGAGUCGGUGCGAGUCCACUUGAUGUUUUCUUUCGAAUACAAACAGAAAUCCCUUGCUAAGAAGCAUUUUUAAUAAUAAACCUUGAUUUAGUAAUAUAAUAACAUUUUUGCCAUUAUGGCUGAUGUGGCACUUUCACGGCCCUCUUCAGCUAAUUAAACUAAUAGACCUUUAUUUACUAUGAUAUUUACAAUUAUUGCCAUUAUGACCUACUUAAUCAAAUGAUAAUAUGAAAUGAAUACAGCGUUACCCGGUUCGUGUAAUAGGACAAUAGUCUGUUUAAAUUAUAAAUCUUUCUUAACCAGUUUUCUCAAUUCAAAAAAGGGGAAAUGGGCUACGAAGAUCUUUCGUCUGCACCACUUUCUCACAGUCUCGAGUUGAUUGCUUCUCCAAUCUUCCUCGCAUCACUUUGAUGUUGUAUGUUGUUUCAUAAGAGAGAGCGAGACAUGUGGAGAAAUCUGCAGAGCAAAGAUCAAUGCAUUUGAUGCCACGGUGAUCUGGGACGAGCAAGGCUCGAGCUAAGCAUUUAAAGAGACUGUUUUUGUUUCUAUGACCAUAUUAGUAAAGAACCUACAGCUGCAGUCCUCAGAUAUGAAUAUGAACAUGUUUGUGUAUGUUGUUUCGUAAGAGUUUGCCGGUUACGAGCAGUAAUAAACCGGAGUCCUCAAAUGUGGGUAAAAGUUUUGAGAGUAUUACUUAAGCUGUGGUUUUUCGUUGAUCAUUGUCUCUAACUAUCCUAUUGCAUUUGGUAUUAAAAUGUGCAGGCGUAAGUCUGAAUAAUGAAGAGAACAAAGCAUGUUUUAUUGGCUUAAGGGCUGUAAUUUAAAAUUAUUUUCUCAUAAAAGUUUUUUUCUCUGGCAUUGGAACAUGGUUUGCUUUUUUGGUUAUGGCAUCCCAUCGUAAGAAUCUUAGAUAUUUUGUUUCUAGAGUUACAUCCAUUUA
Molecule: long non-coding RNA, 990 nt
Organism: Brassica napus (rape)
Lineage: Eukaryota; Viridiplantae; Streptophyta; Magnoliopsida; Brassicales; Brassicaceae
Exons: 2
Source: RefSeq, a predicted model, not a curated record